RNAcentral lists this transfer RNA (64 nucleotides) under Purohita sinica. RNAcentral's name for it is "tRNA-Met". Lineage: Eukaryota; Metazoa; Arthropoda; Insecta; Hemiptera; Delphacidae. The record is from RNAcentral.
AAAAAGAUAAGCUAAAUUAAAGCUAUUGGGCCCAUAACCCAACUAUGAUUUUUAUCUCUUUUUA